RNAcentral lists this long non-coding RNA (1156 nucleotides) under Androctonus crassicauda. Lineage: Eukaryota; Metazoa; Arthropoda; Arachnida; Scorpiones; Buthidae. The record is from RNAcentral.
AUUUUUAUAUUAAUUUUUGUAAUACUGUAUUCUGUUACUUUGCACGAUUAAAGUCUAAUUUAGUUUGCGACAUCGAUUAAUUUGUGACCUUUAUUUUGCAUUGUAUUCAUUUUAUGCUUUUUUAAUUUGAGAAUCUCUUUCCGAUCUGAAUUCGAAAGUUCUUUGAGACAUAAAUAUACGAAAAUAAGUGUGUAUCCAUGCAUUGUUGAGAAUACAAAUCAAGAAUCCCUAAUCCAACAUGUUUGGAUUGGAGAAUGUUUCGGAUUUUAGAAUAUAUGAUAUGAUUGAGUGUCAAAGAAGUGGAAAAAAUUCGCUAUCGGAUCUGUUUGAUAUUUUUAACAAUACAAUACUGUAUUUAUACAACAGGAAAAUAAGCAGUCACAGACAUCUGGCCUGGCCAUGCUUGAUGUUUACUGAAUUAGGAUAUCGUGCCACAGUUGUGCGCGCAUUAUUGCGUUAUCUUUCAAGACGUUGUGAGCCAUAGUCCUAUAUCAAAAGUUCUCUCUUGUAAAAGCUAAAUUACGGAUUUCGAAUUGGAGAUACUCAAUCUGUAACCGACAAGUUGAAACUAGUAAUUACCGGUUAUAAUUUAUUUUGUUUUUAACUCUGCCAAUUAAGCGUUUCACUAUAAGAUAAGAAUAGUCUUAUUCGUAUCUGAUAGAUAAAAAUAUGACGUUUUUAGUGAUUUUUGCAUAUUUUACGCCCCUUUCGAAUCAGGGAGAUUACUAAGGGGCGGGGCAAUUCCAACCAUAGGCUGCAACCACAGCCGUGGAGGGGUGCCGGAUGGGGAUGGCUGGGCCGGGCCGGGCCGGGCCCAGCAUCGCGAAAAACUUUUCAGGAGUUAUCAGAUCCAAGAUGCGAACCAGAGUCCUGCUUGGCACGCCGACAGCGUUACCACUCGGCUAUCCGACCGCCGACGUUUUUAGGUUAAAAACAAAAUAUCAAUACUUAUAGUGAAAUACGUUAUACUUCUAAUUAUCCAGAUUGCAAAUUCACCGGUCCUAAUCCGGAAGUAAUAUUUAAUUACCACUGUUUUUAUCUUAGAUAUCGUACCUGAAAGAUUUUUAAACGCUCCAGAUUCAUUUCUUUGUUAUACUUACAAGGAACCUCUACAGUUUUGUGAAUUCGAUUGCUGAAAAUGUAUAGACCAAUCGAU